This 467-nucleotide unclassified non-coding RNA is filed under the name Hevea brasiliensis (rubber tree). Lineage: Eukaryota; Viridiplantae; Streptophyta; Magnoliopsida; Malpighiales; Euphorbiaceae. The record is from RNAcentral.
GGAUGCUCUACUUGCAUUGUUUGUGACUGAUUAUGCUAGAAGGUAAUUAAAUGCCUAAGUACACUUCAAAAUAGACAACUGGACCUGAGUUCUUUAAAAUUUUCCGCAUGCUUUUAUUAACACUAUCAGUUUUAGCACGGAUAAAACUAUAAACAGGGAUAUGUAUCUAGCUGGGUUGGCAUAAUCAUUUCUUACUAUGCACUUGUUUCAACCCCUUCUUUUGUGCUCUUUUGGGGCUCUGGUUACUUCUCACUAGUCAGCAUACCAGGAAUUUUGUUCAAAUGAGGCAUCUUUGCCCUAUUAUUUUCUCUGUUUUAUGACUACCAUGUCCACCUGCCUAAGUCAUGAUUAGAUCUUUUUAUUGAAAUGACAUUAAUAUUGGAUUUUUAAGGAGUUAUUGUUCCAGAUCUCACCAUCAUGGAUGCUCCUUCUAUAAUUAUCUGUCAUCUGAUGUAUUUUUAUUUGAC